AGAGCAUCAACUCCUACAAGAACUACCACUCAACGACCAUCAACUCCCACAAGGGGUACUACUCCUCCUCAACGACCAUCGACACCUACAAGAACUACUACUGUUCAACGAUCAUCGACACCUACAAGAACCACUACUACUGCUCAACGAUCAUCGACACCGACGAGACCCUCUUUACCAUCAUCAAGGUCAUCAUCAAGACCCUCGACUCCAACCCGCCGCUCCUCUGCUCCACUAUCAAGUUCACAAAUUAUGUCUUCUGCACCUGGUAGUAGAUCCUCCUCCGUGACAAGAUCAGCUCCAG
RNAcentral lists this long non-coding RNA (304 nucleotides) under Linum usitatissimum (flax). RNAcentral describes it as "long non-coding RNA (LUSI_LNC006404)". The record is from RNAcentral. Lineage: Eukaryota; Viridiplantae; Streptophyta; Magnoliopsida; Malpighiales; Linaceae.